AGUGGGGGACAACAGUUGGAAACGACUGCUAAUACCGCAUAAAGCAUUUUGACCGCAUGAUCGAGAUGCCAAAGAUUUAUUGCUGAAAGAUGGGCUCGCGUCUGAUUAGAUAGUUGGUGGGGUAACGGCCCACCAAGUCGACGAUCAGUAGCCGGACUGAGAGGUUGAACGGCCACAUUGGGACUGAGAUACGGCCCAGACUCCUACGGGAGGCAGCAGUGGGGAAUAUUGGGCAAUGGGGGAAACCCUGACCCAGCAACGCCGCGUGAAGGAAGAAGGCUUUCGGGUUGUAAACUUCUUUUACCAGGGACGAAGAAAGUGACGGUACCUGGAGAAAAAGCCACGGCUAACUACGUGCCAGCAGCCGCGGUAAUACGUAGGUGGCAAGCGUUGUCCGGAUUUACUGGGUGUAAAGGGCGUGUAGGCGGAGAUGCAAGUCAGAUGUGAAUCCCCGGGCUUAACCCGGGAACUGCAUUUGAAACUGUAUCCCUUGAGUAUCGGAGAGGCAGGCGGAAUUCCUAGUGUAGCGGUGAAAUGCGUAGAUAUUAGGAGGAA
This 555-nucleotide ribosomal RNA is filed under the name uncultured Lachnospiraceae bacterium. Its description in RNAcentral is "bacterial SSU rRNA". It matches the Rfam family "Bacterial small subunit ribosomal RNA", at positions 135 to 706 of the family's 1533-position model. The record is from RNAcentral. Lineage: Bacteria; Bacillati; Bacillota; Clostridia; Lachnospirales; Lachnospiraceae.